GGUGGCUCAGUGGUAAAGCACUUGCCUUGCAUGCAUGAGGCCCGGGGUUCGAUUCCUCAGCACCA
This 65-nucleotide transfer RNA is filed under the name Dipodomys ordii (Ord's kangaroo rat). It matches the Rfam family "tRNA". Rfam says of the family: Transfer RNA (tRNA) molecules are approximately 80 nucleotides in length. The record is from Rfam by way of RNAcentral. Lineage: Eukaryota; Metazoa; Chordata; Mammalia; Rodentia; Heteromyidae.